Molecule: microRNA, 19 nt
Filed under: Gallus gallus (chicken)
Lineage: Eukaryota; Metazoa; Chordata; Aves; Galliformes; Phasianidae
Description: microRNA Ros-gga
Source: RNAcentral
CGGGACGGCUGGAAAGGGC